AUACGUAGGGUGCGAGCGUUGUCCGGAAUUACUGGGCGUAAAGAGCUCGUAGGUGGUUUGUCGCGUCGUCUGUGAAAUUCCGGGGCUUAACUCCGGGCGUGCAGGCGAUACGGGCAUAACUUGAGUACUGUAGGGGAGACUGGAAUUCCUGGUGUAGCGGUGAAAUGCGCAGAUAUCAGGAGGAACACCGGUGGCGAAGGCGGGUCUCUGGGCAGUAACUGACGCUGAGGAGUGAAAGCAUGGGUAGCGACCAGGAUUAGAUACCCUGGUAGUCCAUGCCGUAAACGGUGGGCGCUAGGUGUAGGGGUCUUCCACGACUUCUGUGCCGUAGCUAACGCAUUAAGCGCCCCGCCUGGGGAGUACGGCCGCAAGGCUAAAACUCAAAUGAAUUGACGGGG
Molecule: ribosomal RNA, 398 nt
Filed under: uncultured bacterium
Lineage: Bacteria
Description: partial 16S ribosomal RNA
Rfam family: Bacterial small subunit ribosomal RNA
Source: RNAcentral